AUGCUGUGAUCACAGUUACAAAACAAGAACACAUUUCUGUGAAUUAAAGGAAUUUACAGCUAAGUAAUGCACCUUUGUUUUAAAAUCUUACAUCAUGUAAACAAAAUACUAUGCAAUAAAAUGGAAGUAAUUUUUCAAAAAAAAUUUGUAUACAAACUAUUUCAACUUACACAUACACUAAAAAUGAGUUAAAAAUAAACCUACUGAUAGUAUUAAUCACUGAUUUUUCUUCUUUCACAGUUAAUCACUUCUAUUUUGAACCAACUGAGGGGUUUUGUUGGGAAAUAAUUCCAUUGCUAUGAUGCCAGAAGUUAUACACGAUGGUGCUGAAUAUUUACAGAUAUCAGAAGAUUAUAUGGUUCUAGCUUAUCUACAAAUGAUAGUUUUAUCAUUUUGUACACUCUAUAAAAGUUUCAGUGAAAACUCCAAAAUCCACAAAAAAUUCAUGAUCUACAGACCAGUCAUUUGCUUUAGUUUUACUUAAAAUAAAAUUUUAAUAUAACCCAGUGUCUAUUUGUUUAAAUGUAUCAAAACUAUUAAACAUAAAUAAAUGCCAUUUUUCAUAAAGUUGCUCACAUUUUCCUGAGAGCUUCUGUAAGUAGUGUCAAGUUGAAAGAGUUCUAUUUCGUGCCAUGAAGAGAAAUUUCUCCUUGCAAAACAGGAAAAGUCAAAGCCCUUUCCUGCUGAGGCAAGGUCUGCAGCCUCCCACCCCAGAGGAGAUCAUCCUUAUCAAGUGUAAGUCCCUUAUGACAUGGCCUAGGGCACAGGGUUUAUGGAUUUUAAACAAUUAUUACAUGACUUCCAACAAGUUCAAGGUAUCCUGAAAUCACAUGUGUAAAUGUUUCUUAGCAAAACUUUAAGGUGGACUAAGAAGGAAAGGCCUCCUGUCAGUUCCAUUCAGAUUUACCAACAAGAAAGUUCUAAUAAUAAAUCAAUAAAAAUCAAAACAAAACAAAAAAUCAUUUGUUUAGCCUUAACCCUAGCUCUGUUCUUGAGCUACAGAGUAAACCUAACACCUUUCUCACACAUCUGAAGAAAAGCACUGUGUCUUUUUCCCUUGGCCUCCUCUCCUUCAGAUGCCCCAUCUCUAUUCCAUCUGGAAUGAAGGAGGUGUGACAGCUCCUACUUGGUGUGACAGCUCCUACUUAGGUUGACAGGAGUUGAUAUCAUGAAACUUCCCAAUGGCUUUCUUUGGCCAGGAUGUGCCACACAGGUCCACUGGGACAAUGUAGUGUUAUUUUUCUUUCCUCUUCCUUGCUUCCAAGAGACAGACACUGGUACACCAACCUUCUGCUUUCCUGAUUUAGAACGUUAACCAUGCAUCUCAAAAAAACUUACUUCAACCUUAACACUCCCUAACAAAAACAAGGUCAGUCCAAGGACCUCUCUCAGACCCUGCCUGACUUCAAUUCCUUUCUAUUCCUUUCUACAUCCAUUUUUAAUCAAUUUGUGACACACGGUACUUAGAGUAAAAUUUCCACACAUUACUAAUUCCUUGGAGAGAUUAUUUUAAGUUUAGGACUUCUGAAAAUGAGAA
Heterocephalus glaber (naked mole-rat) is the source of this 1537-nucleotide non-coding RNA. NCBI's taxonomy places the organism in Eukaryota, Metazoa, Chordata, Mammalia, Rodentia, Bathyergidae. The record is from RefSeq and is a predicted model, not a curated record.